This 329-nucleotide ribosomal RNA is filed under the name uncultured eukaryote. Its description in RNAcentral is "partial 18S ribosomal RNA". It matches the Rfam family "Eukaryotic small subunit ribosomal RNA", at positions 1470 to 1796 of the family's 1831-position model. The record is from RNAcentral.
CCCUUAGAUGUCCUGGGCCGCACGCGCGCUACACUGAGUGUCUGAGAUACGAGUCUGCCUGGUCCGGCAAGGUCUAGGUAAUCGCUAAAAGACACAUCAUGCUUGGGAUAGAUUAUUGCAAAUAUUAAUCUUGAACGAGGAAUUCCUAGUAAGCGCAAGUCAACAGCUUGCGUUGAUUACGUCCCUGCCCUUUGUACACACCGCCCGUCGCUACUACUGAUUGGAUGUUUAAGCGAGGUUCUCGAACUGCUAGCGACUUAGCUUCGGUGAGGUCGCAGUGUGGGAAGUGAACCUAGCUUUGGUGUCUAGAGGAAGUAAAAAUCGUAACA